This 331-nucleotide ribosomal RNA is filed under the name Sphingomonadales bacterium. Its description in RNAcentral is "bacterial SSU rRNA". It matches the Rfam family "Bacterial small subunit ribosomal RNA", at positions 1 to 360 of the family's 1533-position model. The record is from RNAcentral. Lineage: Bacteria; Pseudomonadati; Pseudomonadota; Alphaproteobacteria; Sphingomonadales.
AAACUUGAGAGUUUGAUCCUGGCUCAGAACGAACGCUGGCGGCAUGCCUAACACAUGCAAGUCGAACGCCCUCUUCGGAGGGAGUGGCGCACGGGUGCGUAACGCGUGGGAACCUGCCCUUAGGUUCGGAAUAACUCAGAGAAAUUUGAGCUAAUACCGGAUAAUGUCUUCGGACCAAAGAUUUAUCGCCUUUGGAUGGGCCCGCGUAGGAUUAGGUAGUUGGUGGGGUAAAGGCCUACCAAGCCGACGAUCCUUAGCUGGUCUGAGAGGAUGAUCAGCCACACUGGGACUGAGACACGGCCCAGACUCCUACGGGAGGCAGCAGUGGGGA